Molecule: long non-coding RNA, 2004 nt
Organism: Mustela erminea (ermine)
Lineage: Eukaryota; Metazoa; Chordata; Mammalia; Carnivora; Mustelidae
Exons: 4
Source: RefSeq, a predicted model, not a curated record
GGAUGUUUCUGAGGAUGUGGUAAGUGAGGUAUUCACCUGAUGACCAUCCCAUGACUGUCAGGCUUGUUUUCUAGCUACUUUUUGGAAUCUUCAUUCUUAGAAAAUCCUUUGUUAUGAAAUAUGCUCAGGACUGGAAAGGAAACGAGGUUCAGUCAGCAAUACCCUCAGUGUGAACUCUGGAAUAGCAUUUCCUUUUGAAAGAUUCAUCCUCAUUUUGCUCCUGGCUUCGUGCUGGUGUGUGAUGACUGUGUUUCCUGGGGAUUUCCAACCUGAGCAGUCAUCAGCCCAGGCCCAAGGACAGAGGACACCCACCCUGAGGACAGAGAUGGCUGUAUUGCUUGCAUGACAACUUCUGUCCCACAGUGGAAGACAAAGGGAGUCAAGAGGCUGUGCUUGUGUGACCCUGGCUCCUGAAGUUCUUCUGCGGCAUCGUGAUGAUUUUCUUAUGAUGGCUCCCCCACCGGACAGCUGUCUGGGCUCUUCAAAGACACCCCCAACACCUCCACCUCGCAUGACCCCCAUUGCUAGCUGUUAAGUGAAUGCAUGAAUGUACAUGUGAAUGACCUCUGAACUUUGAUCCCAGGCCAGGGUGAGCUUCAGGUACAGGGAGAGAAGACAGCUGCCUCUGUGGUGUGAUCUGGGGGCUUCAGGAAGUUUCUUCACUCUGGUGCCCUUCCUUGGGUCUUCCUUUUCUUUCCAUUUUAUUGAGAUACACUUAAGACACAGCAAUGUAAGUGAAGAGGCCUAGAACCUAGAACCUACUGGUGUCUCAGCAAAUGGCUACACAGAACCAAGGUCCAGGAGAAUCGGCUCCCAGGGUUUCUAGAGCACACGGCAGUUUCAGGCAGCUGCCAGCCUGGGGUCUUCCCCACCCAGAGUUUCUGAAGGCUGCAUUUCGGUGGCCUCAGAGCUGAGAGGAAAGGAGCCAGGGACAGGGAGGGGUGGGGAGGAAGGCUUGUCUGUCCCAGUGAAGCCCCGUCCACCAAGGCCAGCUCCACUUCUGUUCUCACUGCCCAGCCUCCCAAGGACAAUGAAGGGGCUGCGCUGUGGGGAGAAGGGUGACUUGUCUCCUUUCCCAGCCAUCAAAUGAGGAAGCAGGGUCCACACCCUAACUCUCAGCCUCAAGGGAGUACAGGAUGUCCUAACACGUCCUGUAGAACGACUUAGUAAUUUUCCAGUUACUAAUUUGCCUUACCUGUUCUGUUCAAACAGGCUAAUUGUUUCCUCAAAAAGACUCAAGUGUAGUGGGAUGAGGUCACCAGAGACAUGCCUAAACAAUUACAAACUCUGGUCGUGGGCGCGCCAAGAGACUGGUAACCAGCUCCUCAGACAAUGUUGGUCUGAUGUUAUCUUUUCUAAAGCAAAUUCGGUGAGGAUGCGCCUCCUGGUGGUAAGAUGCGAUUCUGCCAGGCAGGAAGACUCCUUCCCCAAAGUGAUUCCUUCCCUGGAUAGGAGAACAACUGGGCGUAGGUGCUGCAUUUGGAACGUUCUCUGUAAAGAACAUUACUGUUAUUUCUCAGUAACUAUUUAUUGAUUGAAAUAUGAAAUAAAUGUGAUUAAUAUAAUCCAUUCAUAAUUGUGAUCUCGGAAGGUGUGAAUUUUAAUCAAAGCAAAAAAUCUGCCAAGGCAGAAAACAGGGAAAAUUGAUCUCUGGUCUGAUAAGGAAAGAGGAUAUAAUUUUGAAAACUUCCAUAUACUUUCUGGCUUUUAUAUUGUGGGUAUUAUAUUCUCUAUUGACUUAGAACAAUUCCAUUUUUUUAUUACAAAAAAAUUCAAAUAUACCAAAAAAUAGAACAGUAAAUCCCCAUAUAGUCACUACCCAGUUUCCAGAGCUGUCAUGAUUUUGUCAUGCUCACUUUUUAUGACCCAUUAAAUGUUUUUAGUUGCUUUUCACCCUUAGAUAAUAUAGCCCCGACAUCAUGUUACAUUACCAUAAAUAUUUCAGUAUGCAUUUCUUUUUUUUCCCCUAAGAUUUUAUUUAUUUGUCAGAGAGAAAGAGAGAGA